This 253-nucleotide ribosomal RNA is filed under the name uncultured bacterium. RNAcentral describes it as "partial 16S ribosomal RNA". It matches the Rfam family "Bacterial small subunit ribosomal RNA", at positions 524 to 776 of the family's 1533-position model. The record is from RNAcentral.
UACAGAGGCCUCAAGCGUUGUUCGGAUUCAUUGGGCGUAAAGGGUGCGUAGGUGGCAUGGUAAGUUGAAGGUGAAAUCUCGGAGCUCAACUCCGAAACUGCCUUCAAUACUGCUGUGCUCGAGGACUGUAGAGGAGAAUGGAAUUCACGGUGUAGCAGUGAAAUGCGUAGAUAUCGUGAGGAACACCAGAGGCGAAGGCGGUUACCUGGACAAUUACUGACGCUCAGGCACGAAAGCGUGGGGAGCAAAAGGG